UACGAAGGGGUGCAAGCGUUACUCGGAAUUACUGGGCGUAAAGCGUGCGUAGGUGGUUCGUUAAGUCUGAUGUGAAAGCCCUGGGCUCAACCUGGGAAUGGCAUUGGAUACUGGCGAUCUAGAGUGCGGUAGAGGCAGUGGAAUUCCCGGUGUAGCAGUGAAAUGCGUAGAGAUCGGGAGGAACAUCUGUGGCGAAGGCGACUGCCUGGACCAGCACUGACACUGAGGCACGGAAAGCGUGGGGAGCCAAACAGG
This 255-nucleotide ribosomal RNA is filed under the name uncultured bacterium. Its description in RNAcentral is "partial 16S ribosomal RNA". It matches the Rfam family "Bacterial small subunit ribosomal RNA", at positions 524 to 776 of the family's 1533-position model. The record is from RNAcentral.